CCUACGGGUGGCAGCAGUGAGGAAUAUUGGUCAAUGGACGAGAGUCUGAACCAGCCAAGUAGCGUGAAGGAUGACUGCCCUAUGGGUUGUAAACUUCUUUUAUAUGGGAAUAAAAUGUUCCACGUGUGGGCUUUUGUAUGUACCAUAUGAAUAAGGAUCGGCGAACUCCGUGCCAGCAGCCGCUGUAAUACGGAGGAUCCGAGCGUUAUCCGGAUUUAUUGGGUUUAAAGGGAGCGUAGGUGGAUUGUUAAGUCAGUUGUGAAAGUUUGCGGCUCAACCGUAAAAUUGCAGUUGAAACUGGCAGUCUUGAGUACAGUAGAGGUGGGCGGAAUUCGUGGUGUAGCGGUGAAAUGCUUAGAUAUCACGAAGAACUCCGAUUGCGAAGGCAGCUCACUGGACUGCAACUGACACUGAGGCUCGAAAGUGUGGGUAUCAAACAGGAUUAGAUACCCCAGUAGUC
RNAcentral lists this ribosomal RNA (460 nucleotides) under uncultured bacterium. RNAcentral's name for it is "partial 16S ribosomal RNA". It matches the Rfam family "Bacterial small subunit ribosomal RNA", at positions 338 to 795 of the family's 1533-position model. The record is from RNAcentral.